CAUCGCGAGGUGAAAUCUGAAAGAAGCCGGCGGCAAACAUCUGACCUAACGGACAGAAACUUCAUACAAGGCAUUUGACCAUGGAUGAGAUUGCCGAACAAAUCAAAGUCCCAUAGCUAUUCGGAAUGGUUGGUGUAAAUGAAGUGGGUAUAAGAUGGAAAGACA
This 165-nucleotide non-coding RNA is filed under the name uncultured Prevotella sp. Lineage: Bacteria; Pseudomonadati; Bacteroidota; Bacteroidia; Bacteroidales; Prevotellaceae. The record is from RNAcentral.